This 484-nucleotide ribosomal RNA is filed under the name uncultured bacterium. RNAcentral describes it as "partial 16S ribosomal RNA". It matches the Rfam family "Bacterial small subunit ribosomal RNA", at positions 30 to 507 of the family's 1533-position model. The record is from RNAcentral.
AUUGAACGCUGGCGGCAGGCCUAACACAUGCAAGUCGAGCGGAUGAAGGGAGCUUGCUCCUGGAUUCAGCGGCGGACGGGUGAGUAAUGCCUAGGAAUCUGCCUGGUAGUGGGGGAUAACGUCCGGAAACGGGCGCUAAUACCGCAUACGUCCUGAGGGAGAAAGUGGGGGAUCUUCGGACCUCACGCUAUCAGAUGAGCCUAGGUCGGAUUAGCUAGUUGGUGGGGUAAAGGCCUACUAAGGCGACGAUCCGUAACUGGUCUGAGAGGAUGAUCAGUCACACUGGAACUGAGACACGGUCCAGACUCCUACGGGAGGCAGCAGUGGGGAAUAUUGGACAAUGGGCGAAAGCCUGAUCCAGCCAUGCCGCGUGUGUGAAGAAGGUCUUCGGAUUGUAAAGCACUUUAAGUUGGGAGGAAGAGCAGUAAGUUAAUACCUUGCUGUUUUGACGUUACCAACAGAAUAAGCACCGGCUAACUUCGUG